CUAGAUAUAUACAAGACAUGACAGUCAAUUUUUUCGAGAGUUUGAUCCUGGCUCAGGAUGAACGCUGGCUGUGUGCCUAAUACAUGCAUGUCGAGCGGAGUUCCUUCGGGAACUUAGCGGCGAAUGGGUGAGUAACACGUACUUAACAUGCCCUUUAGAUUGGAAUAACGAUGAGAAAUUAUCGCUAAUGCCGGAUACUUAUUUAGAUCGCAUGAUCAAAAUAAAAAAGGAGCCUUUAAAGCUCUGCUAAAGGAUUGGGGUGCGUAGCAUUAGCUAGUUGGUAAGGUAAUGGCUUACCAAGGCGAUGAUGCUUAGCGGGGUUGAGAGACUGAUCCGCCACACUGGGACUGAGAUACGGCCCAGACUCCUACGGGAGGCAGCAGUAGGGAAUUUUCCACAAUGGGCGAAAGCCUGAUGGAGCGACACAGCGUGCGGGAAGAAGGCCUUCGGGUUGUAAACUGCUGUUAUUUGGGAUGAAAAAGUAGUAGAGGAAAUGCUAUUACCUUGACAGUACCUUAUCAGAAAGCAACGGCUAACUAUGUGCCAGCAGCCGCGGUAAUACAUAGGUUGCAAGCGUUAUCCGGAAUUAUUGGGCGUAAAGCGUCUGUAGGUUGUUUGUUAAGUCUGACGUCAAAACUUGGGGCUCAACCCCAAAUCGCGUUGGAUACUGGCAAACUAGAAUUGUAUAGAGGUUAACGGAAUUCCUUGUGAAGCGGUGAAAUGCGUAGAUAUAAGGAAGAACACCAACUGGCGAAGGCAGUUAACUGGGUACAUAUUGACACUGAGAGACGAAAGCGUGGGGAGCAAACAGGAUUAGAUACCCUGGUAGUCCACGCCGUAAACGAUGAUGAUUAGCUAAUGGGAACCAUUGGCACAGCUAACGCAUUAAAUCAUCCGCCUGAGUAGUAUGCUCGCAAGAGUGAAACUUAAAGGAAUUGACGGGGAUCCGCACAAGCGGUGGAGCAUGUGGUUUAAUUUGAAGAUACGCGUAGAACCUUACCCACUCUUGACAUCUUCCGCAACGCUAUAGAGAUAUAGUUGAGGUUAACGGAAUGACAGAUGGUGCAUGGUUGUCGUCAGCUCGUGUCGUGAGAUGUUCGGUUAAGUCCUGCAACGAGCGCAACCCUUAUCCUUAGUUAGAUGAUCUAGGGAGACUGCCCGGGUAACCGGGAGGAAGGUGGGGACGACGUCAAAUCAUCAUGCCUCUUACGAGUGGGGCAACACACGUGCUACAAUGGACGGUACAAAGAGAAGCAAUACGGCGACGUGGAGCAAAUCUCAAAAAACCGUUCUCAGUUCGGAUUGUAGUCUGCAACUCGACUACAUGAAGUCGGAAUCGCUAGUAAUCGUAGAUCAGCUACGCUACGGUGAAUACGUUCUCGGGUCUUGUACACACCGCCCGUCACACCAUGGGAGCUGGUAAUGCCCGAAGUCGGUUCGUUAACUACGGAGACAACCGCCUAAGGCAGGACUGGUGACUGGGGUGAAGUCGUAACAAGGUAUCCCUACGAGAACGUGGGGAUGGAUCACCUCCUUUCUA
Molecule: ribosomal RNA, 1540 nt
Filed under: Mycoplasma sp. Pen4
Lineage: Bacteria; Bacillati; Mycoplasmatota; Mollicutes; Mycoplasmatales; Mycoplasmataceae
Description: bacterial SSU rRNA
Rfam family: Bacterial small subunit ribosomal RNA
Source: RNAcentral